CCGAGUUCAUGCCCUUCGGGGUAGAUCUCCCACCCUUUGUAUACUAUACCUUUGUUGCUUUGGCGGGCCGCCUAGCUACUGGCUUCGGCUGGUAAGUGCCCGCCAGAGGACCCAAAACCCUGUUUUACAGUGUCGUCCGAGUACUAUAUAAUAGUUA
This 157-nucleotide unclassified non-coding RNA is filed under the name uncultured Tetracladium. RNAcentral's name for it is "sequence contains ITS1". The record is from RNAcentral. Lineage: Eukaryota; Fungi; Ascomycota.